Long non-coding RNA from Cydia splendana, 2722 nucleotides. RefSeq lists it as uncharacterized. The transcript has 2 exons. Lineage: Eukaryota; Metazoa; Arthropoda; Insecta; Lepidoptera; Tortricidae. The record is from RefSeq and is a predicted model, not a curated record.
CCGUUGACUCCAAAAUGAUGGUUAAACGUGCUUCAAGAUUAAUUCUCCAUUCACUGCACACUACCACAUUAUUUACUGUAUAAUAAGCUAUCGAUAUUACACUUUAAACAAUAUUAAUGAGCAAAAAAACAAAGGAAAUAAUCACGACGCGUGACUGCCAAGAUGGCGCUUGAACCGGAAGUCCGAUAUAGACCUCGACGACAAAAUAGAACGGCACGGCUACAAUAAUAAUACAAAUAAUAAAAUUGUCUCUGGGCCGAUCGCUUGGAAAUAAUAAUUCGGAAGGAAGUUGCAAUAUUUUCUUACUGGUAAGGGAAAACCACCAAUGAUCGACACUUUUAGACAGUGUUUGACAUAAGUACUAUAGGUCAAAGUGACAGGAAUUAAUUUUGAAUAUAGAGAAAAAAAUCGUUCUUCAAACUUAAACUAUAUUAUUACUUUGACAUAAGUGCCAUGUCGAACAUUGGUGCAGCGUCGAUCAUUGGUGCUUUUACCUUAACCACUUUCUUGUAAAAUAUCUCCGAUACCGGCUUCCUUUCGAUUUAAAGGAGUUUAACAGCUAGUAAACUUCAACAAAAAUACAUAUUCAAUUAAUAACCAACAACAAAGCACAGACAGCCCUAGAAUGUCCAAUAAUAGUCCAGUUGGCACUUGGCUCAAUCGGCUUUUAAACAACAAAUUAACUACAAUUAUUUUAAUAAGUAAAAUAGCAUUUAAUAAUAAUUCAAAAAUUGUCUGGCAUGCCGGAUAAACCAUAUUUAUUUUAUGUACAUGAUGUAUGACAUAAAUAAAUAAGUUAAAAUUGUACUACAGAAAUAACUAUACAUUGUACAGUUUGCACAGGGUUGACGGUUAAUUACUGUCGUGUCUGUCUUAAUUACUGUGGUGUUCACAUAUUGUUUUGAUGUGAUGUAAGUCUUACAGUUACACCAAAUUAGAAUAAUUCUCAGGACAAUAUAAUGUGCAUAGAGUUCUCUGCAAAUACUGAAUAGUUCACCGUAAUAUUACCUACGGGCCAUUUUAAAAUUUGUUGCGAAUCUAUUAAAUUUACUAGCCUCGCAGUAACAAAAACAUUUAGUCAUAUUGUAAGUUGGGAUCAGACCCGACAUAAAUUCUAAAUAAUAUUAGCAAUAGCUAUGUUAUUUUUGUAUGUAAACUGCAACAAAUUUUAAAAGGGCUUUUAAACCUAAGAAUGAGUUAUAAGCAAUUAAUGUUGGUAGUUUGAUAAAAUUGUUUGGCUUCAUUUAAAUUGUUUAAAAAUUGUUUUGGCUUGUUCUAAUAUUUUUAAAUAAGUUUGGUAAAUCACUAUAGAUAAUUUUAAGAGUCGUUGCUUAGGGUAUCGAUUAUAAGUAGGUAUUGUUGUUUUAAAUCCAAACUCUUAAAGCUUUAUUCACUGUAAGAUAUAUCGGUAAUUGUAAAAUUGUAUAGAUUUCGUUUGAGUUGAUUUCACAACGGAGCCAAUUGUGAGGCCAUUUGGUGCACCCCCGCGUCCUCAUACAUUCCUUGCCGAGUUCAAAAGAAUAUUGAGAUGUAUUUGUUGGGUGCUUUUAUAAAAACUGUGUUUAAGAAAAUUUUGUUCUUGAUAAUAAUUGUGUUCUAAAACCGGCAGGCAAUGCCCCUUUUUAAAUAGCUGUAAAUAGUUGAAAGGCAUAAGUGUAACCUGCUGUGCUAUUUUCGAAGUUUAGAACACAAGGGACAGUGGUGUGUUUCUGUAUUAGAUGUUACCAUAGACAAUUGAAUUAAUAGACUUGCGCAUUCUAAAUAAAAUUUGAGCUAGAAUAGUAUGUAGUUUCACUGGGCAGCACUGAUAUUUAGUGGUGACUAUAACGUCAACCUUUUUUUUUUUGGAUUUCGCAAGUGUUAUAUUUCAAUUGUCUUUGAUGUUACGGAACCUGGGUUCCAUAGUUAAGCUAGUGUUAGCCUGCCCGUUUGCCGCUAAGCGAUAUGUAAAUAUUAUGAUAUAAACAGGGCACUGAAUAGUAACUAAUAGACUGGCUACAAAUUAAUUAUUUGAAUCUCUAAAAGAGAGUACUUUCUGUAUCAAAAUUCCUUAACAUACAAGAAAAUGUGAUAACAUUGGAGAUUGCAUGGUGUGUGUUGUUGAUUCUGCGUGACCCAGGUGGAUAUAGAAGGAGGAUUGUUUUGCAUUGUACUCUCUAAAUUGCUCAUAUACCUAGUUAUCUAGUAACAUGUACGUGUUUAACAAGCUACAGUUUUACACGAAAACAAGACUUUUAAUUUUUUAUAUGCGUGUAUAUCUCAUAAUUUUUGCCGUUUUUAAAAUUUUAAAUUGGAGCUUUCUAAAGCCCUACUAUUAAUAUAUAUGAUAUUAGUAUAUUUUAUAAUAUGGUCGUAAAUCAACAGUCCUUCUUCUAUUCCAUCUCAGUGUAAAAUAGUAAAAAUAUGCAUUUGCUUGUGUCAUAACUUUUAAAUUGGAAUGUUGGUAAAUUAAUGAAUUGUAGGCCGAGUUCGGACAUAAUCAAAUUGGUUAUAAAACUAUUGUGUAUAAAAGAUGUAUUGGUUAUUUUGAUUUGCAUUGUGUUUAUAUUGAUCCGGACUGGGUGUCGAGUGAUUGGAUGUUCGGUUGAAAGGGAAGCCAAAGCCUUCUUGUUAGUAGUUAAGUGUAGGUUUAAGGGGCGUCUCCAUUCGAGACGAGAUGCGCUUGAGAAAUACAAAAUGUCUUGUAUAGUAUGAAAAAUAAAUGUUAAAAAUUCACGAGUCA